GGGUGCGAUCAUACUAGCACUAGAUCCCAUUAGAACUCAGAAGUUAAGCGUGCUUGGGCGAGAGUAGUACUAGGAUGUGUGACGCCCUGAGAAGUCCUCGUGUUGCAUUCC
RNAcentral lists this ribosomal RNA (111 nucleotides) under Musa acuminata subsp. malaccensis (wild Malaysian banana). The record is from RNAcentral. Lineage: Eukaryota; Viridiplantae; Streptophyta; Magnoliopsida; Zingiberales; Musaceae.